AGCAGCCGCGGUAAUUCCAGCUCCAAUAGCGUAUAUUAAAGUUGUUGCAGUUAAAAAGCUCGUAGUUGAAUUUCGGGGUUAGUAGGUUGGUCAUGCCUCUGGUAUGUACUGGUCUCACUGAUUCCUCCUUCCUGAUGAGCCGUAAUGCCAUUAAUUUGGUGUUGCGGGGAAUUUGGACUGUUACUUUGAAAAAUUGAGUGUUUAAAGCAAGCUAACGCUUGAAUACAUUAGCAUGGAAUAAUGAAAUAGGACGUUCGAUCCUAUUUUGUUGGUUUCUAGGAUUGACGUAAUGAUUAAUAGGGAUAGUUGGGGGCAUUAGUAUUCAAUUGUCAGAGGUGAAAUUCUUGGAUUUAUUGAAGACUAACUACUGCGAAAGCAUUUGCCAAGGAUGUUUUCAUUAAUCAAGAACGAAAGUUAGGGGAUCGAAGACGAUCAGAUACCGUCGUAGUCUUAACCAUAAACUAUGCCGACUAGGGAUCGGAUGAUGUUAAUUUUUUAAUGACUCAUUCGGCGCCUUAAC
RNAcentral lists this unclassified non-coding RNA (520 nucleotides) under uncultured Glomus. Its description in RNAcentral is "SSU rRNA". It matches the Rfam family "Eukaryotic small subunit ribosomal RNA", at positions 569 to 1092 of the family's 1831-position model. Lineage: Eukaryota; Fungi; Glomeromycota; Glomeromycetes; Glomerales; Glomeraceae. The record is from RNAcentral.